AUGAGAUUAUGUAGAGCUGACAUGGAACCUUUUAGCCAAGCCUACUGUCUUGUUAUUAUGUUUUCACACCUCACACUACAGGACAAGGACACUGACAAUAUUCUCAAUCCUUCUUGUGACGCUGGCUACAACACGGGUUUCACUGAUGUGUUCAUUUGGUUAAAUGUCAGAGUGUUUCUUGCUAUGAUUUGGCUCGGCGUCAGUGGAAAGUUGCAGCGAUGUUCCAUCAAUGUUAUGUUAUUUGGGGCAACAGGCUCGUACUGUCACAAUUUGCCACAGCAGGUGCACCCAACAAUAGCUUCUUGGUCAAAUUUAUGA
This 318-nucleotide ribosomal RNA is filed under the name Triticum aestivum (bread wheat). RNAcentral describes it as "partial small subunit ribosomal RNA". Lineage: Eukaryota; Viridiplantae; Streptophyta; Magnoliopsida; Poales; Poaceae. The record is from RNAcentral.